GAAACAGAGAGCUGAGAACGGGAGAGGUUGGAAAAAAUCGAGAAUGGAAAGGAAGAAAAAGAAGAAAAGAAAGGAAAGGAAGAAGUUGAUGACUUUUGCAAGUUUGGGUUCUUCAUUUCUUCAAUUUAUGCUUCUUUUAAAGAGGUACGUUAAUUAAAUUUCUAGGGUUUAUGAACAAUUCAUUUAUAUUCGAAGUCUAGCAAGAAUUAGAGAUUAUUAAUAUAUAUUUGAGGUAUUAAACAAGAGUAUAUCAAGGAAAUUUAUAAAGAAAGAUUGAUGUUGUAGAAAGUGAAAUUUUGAAAAUGGAAAUGGAUACCUAUUCUUUGUUUUUUUGUGAUUAUAUGGUGUCAACCACUUAAUUUAAGGACA
Molecule: long non-coding RNA, 369 nt
Filed under: Olea europaea subsp. europaea
Lineage: Eukaryota; Viridiplantae; Streptophyta; Magnoliopsida; Lamiales; Oleaceae
Source: RNAcentral